This 79-nucleotide small nuclear RNA is filed under the name Homo sapiens (human). RNAcentral describes it as "partial ncRNA". Lineage: Eukaryota; Metazoa; Chordata; Mammalia; Primates; Hominidae. The record is from RNAcentral.
AGAGAAUCACAUGAACCCAGGACGUGGAGGUUGCAGUGAGCCGAGAUUGCGCCAUUGCAGUCGAUCCUAGGCAACAAGA